Molecule: ribosomal RNA, 433 nt
Filed under: uncultured bacterium
Lineage: Bacteria
Description: partial 16S ribosomal RNA
Rfam family: Bacterial small subunit ribosomal RNA
Source: RNAcentral
AACGAACGCUGGCGGCAUGCCUAACACAUGCAAGUCGAACGAGACCUUCGGGUCUAGUGGCGCACGGGUGCGUAACGCGUGGGAACCUGCCCUUAGGUUCGGAAUAACUCCCCGAAAGGGGUGCUAAUACCGGAUAAUGUCUUCGGACCAAAGAUUUAUCGCCUUUGGAUGGGCCCGCGUUGGAUUAGCUAGUUGGUAGGGUAAAAGCCUACCAAGGCGACGAUCCAUAGCUGGUCUGAGAGGAUGAUCAGCCACACUGGGACUGAGACACGGCCCAGACUCCUACAGGAGGCAGCAGUGGGGAAUAUAGGACAAUGGGCGAAAGGCUGAUCCAGCAAUGCCGCGUGAGUGAUGAAGGCCUUAGGGUUGUAAAGCUCUUUUACCCGGGAUGAUAAUGACAGUACCGGGAGAAUAAGCGCCGGCUAACUCCGUG